UACGUAGGGUGCAAGCGUUAAUCGGAAUUACUGGGCGUAAAGCGUGCGCGGGCGGUUAUGUAAGACAGAUGUGAAAUCCCCGGGCUCAACCUGGGAACUGCAUUUGUGACUGCAUAGCUAGAGUACGGCAGAGGGGGAUGGAAUUCCGCGUGUAGCAGUGAAAUGCGUAGAUAUGCGGAGGAACACCGAUGGCGAAGGCAAUCCCCUGGGCCUGUACUGACGCUCAUGCACGAAAGCGUGGGGAGCAAACAGG
This 253-nucleotide ribosomal RNA is filed under the name uncultured bacterium. RNAcentral describes it as "partial 16S ribosomal RNA". It matches the Rfam family "Bacterial small subunit ribosomal RNA", at positions 524 to 776 of the family's 1533-position model. The record is from RNAcentral.